GAUGAAGAACGCAGCGAAAUGCGAUAAGUAAUGUGAAUUGCAGAAUUCAGUGAAUCAUCGAAUCUUUGAACGCAUCUUGCGCUCCUUGGUAUUCUGAGGAGCAUGCCUGUUUGAGUGUCAUUAAAUUCUCAACUACACUGACUUUGAAUUGGUGUGGCUUGGAUUUGGGGGGAAAAUUGUUGUGGGCUUUUUGUAUAGUCUGCUCCCCUGAAAUUGAUUAGCGGUAUCUUUGUGGAACUGUCUACAGGUGUGAUAAUUAUCUACAUCUUAGACAUCUGCUGGAAUGCUGCUUUCUAAACCUUACUUGUAUUGACAAUCUUGACCUCAAAUCAGGUAGGACUACCCGCUGAACUUAAGCAUAUCAAUAAGCGGAGGA
RNAcentral lists this unclassified non-coding RNA (376 nucleotides) under soil metagenome. RNAcentral's name for it is "partial contains 5.8S ribosomal RNA, internal transcribed spacer 2, and large subunit ribosomal RNA". The stretch from base 1 to 120 matches the Rfam family "5.8S ribosomal RNA", at positions 35 to 154 of the family's 154-position model. The record is from RNAcentral.